UACGAGGGGGGCAAGCGUUGUUCGGAAUUAUUGGGCGUAAAGGGUGCGUAGGCGUCCCAGCAAGUCCGGGGUGAAAGGUCCAGCGCUCAACGCGGACAGUGCCUUGGAAACUGCUGGGAUCGAGUGUGGCAGGGGGGAACGGAAUUCCAGGUGUAGCGGUGAAAUGCGUAGAUAUCUGGAGGAACACCGGCGGCGAAGGCGGUUCCCUGGGCUGACACUGACGCUGAGGCGCGAAAGCGUGGGGAGCGAACGGG
RNAcentral lists this ribosomal RNA (254 nucleotides) under uncultured bacterium. Its description in RNAcentral is "partial 16S ribosomal RNA". It matches the Rfam family "Bacterial small subunit ribosomal RNA", at positions 524 to 776 of the family's 1533-position model. The record is from RNAcentral.